Molecule: transfer RNA, 73 nt
Filed under: Promethearchaeota archaeon
Lineage: Archaea; Promethearchaeati; Promethearchaeota
Description: Candidatus Lokiarchaeota archaeon (microbial mat metagenome) tRNA-Ala
Rfam family: tRNA
About the family: Transfer RNA (tRNA) molecules are approximately 80 nucleotides in length. Their secondary structure includes four short double-helical elements and three loops (D, anti-codon, and T loops). Further hydrogen bonds mediate the characteristic L-shaped molecular structure. tRNAs have two regions of fundamental functional importance: the anti-codon, which is responsible for specific mRNA codon recognition, and the 3' end, to which the tRNAs corresponding amino acid is attached (by aminoacyl-tRNA synthetases). tRNAs cope with the degeneracy of the genetic code in two manners: having more than one tRNA (with a specific anti-codon) for a particular amino acid; and 'wobble' base-pairing, i.e. permitting non-standard base-pairing at the 3rd anti-codon position.
Source: RNAcentral
GGGCAAUUAGCUCAGUUGGAAGAGCGCCAGAUUCGCAUUCUGGAGGCCAAGGGUUCAACUCCCUUAUUGUCCA